Molecule: long non-coding RNA, 3189 nt
Organism: Gadus morhua (Atlantic cod)
Lineage: Eukaryota; Metazoa; Chordata; Actinopteri; Gadiformes; Gadidae
Source: Ensembl
AUGAGGAGAUGGGUCCGCGCGCUGUGGCUACAGCCUGCGGACAGCGCAUUCGCACAGGUGCUGCGGCCGGACGGCUCGCUCCCUGUUCAGCGGGCACGAGCGCGACGUCUAAACAGCUCGUUGUUUUUACAACUGCUAGUUGUGGUACGUCUCCUACGCUCGCUGAGCCUCCUCCCUUUCGUGGGAAGCCCCCCUUGGUUCACACGCAGUGUGAAGGCGGUAGGGGCAGAGGAAUACGGGUUAUUCCUGGACGGUCUUCCUCAGCUGUCGGCUCGCCCUCUCUCCAACCGCAAUGCGUGUUGGCAAGAGCGGUGCGUUCUGCCAUCGUGGUUGGACACCACGUUGAGAUGGGGCCAUCCCAUACAGUUCAAGCGUCGUCCCCCACCCUUUAUGGGGUUGGUGGAGACCACGCUACGGGACCCGGCUGCGAGCACGGCUCUGGCAGCAGAGGUGGCACUUCUCUUGGUAAAGGGGGCCAUCACUGUCGUUCCCCCCCACGAGUCUCACCUAGGUUUUUAUUCCCGCUACUUCCUGGUUUCCAAGAAGUCAGGGGAAAUGAGACCUAUUCUGGAUCUUCGUGUGUUCAACAGAUUCGUUGCCACGAGGAAGUUCAGAAUGCUCACGGUCGGAGCAUUGUUCCGGUGUGUGAGAGAGGACGAUUGGUUCACAUCCCUGGAUCUCAAGGAUGCUUACUUCCACGUCCCUGUUCGGCAGGCGCACAGGAAGUUUCUCCGCUUUGCCUUUAUGGGGAUGGCGUACGAGUACCAGUGUCUGCCGUUCGGCUAUUCCCUGGCUCCGCGCACCUUCUCGAAGUGUGUGGAGACGGCGUUGGAACCGCUCAGACGUCAGGGAAAGAGGAUUCUCUUCUACCUAGACGAUCUGCUUAUUCUGAGCAACUCAGAAGAGACCGCGAGAAGGGACACCAUGUUGGUGAUAAACCAUCUCUCCUUCCUGGGUUUUGCCAUCAACUGGGAGAAGAGCUCCCCGCUCCCCAGCCGGCAGACAGUCUACUUGGGGCUUUGCCUAGACUCAGCCACCAUGACUGCGAUGCUUUCGCCUCCUCGGCGAGACGCCAUCCUGUCGGCGCUCUCCCGUUUUCACGUUCGCAGAAACGUGACCGCACUGUCCACCAUGCGCCUGUUGGGGCUGAUGGCAGCUGCCCACCCCGUGGUCCCCCUGGGUCUGCUUUUUAUGCGCAGACUCCAGCGGUGGUUUGCUCGCAAACGGUUGGACCCCAGGCGACACAAGCUCAGGGUGCUCCUCGUCCCCCGUUCGGUGUCGCCAGACCUGGAAUAUUGGAAAGGACCCUCCGCCCUUCUCAAGUGUUCCACUGGGCAGGGUGGCGUCCUACGUAGUGGUCUUCACGGACGCCUCGUUGACGGGUUGGGGAGGAACGUGCCUCUCUCACUCGGUCGGAGACGAGUGGCGCACGCCCCCUACAGCACACAUAAAUGUGUUGGAGCUCGACGCUGUGAGGAAAGUGCUGUUGCAUUUCUUUCACCUGGUGCGCGGCCGCCACGUUCUGAUCAGGACAGACAGCGUGUCGGCGGCGGCGUACAUCAACAGACAGGGGGGAGUCCGCUCCCCUGCUCUCCACCGAAAGGCGGUCGAGCUCUGGCUUUGGGCUCAUCAGUAUCUCCGCAGUCUGAGAGCCCUGCAUAUCGCGGGCGCCCAGAACUUUGGGGCGGACCUCAUGUCUCGAGGCGGUCCCCGCCGAGACGAGUGGCGGUUACAUCCCGACAUUGUCAGACUGAUCUGGCAGAGGUUCGGGACAGCGCAGGUGGACCUCUUCGCGUCCCGGGAGAACACGCACUGCAGGUGGUGGUUGUCCCUCAGCCCUCGGGAUCUUCCCCCGUUGGGGGUAGAUGCGUUGGCACACACACCUUGGCCGCGGGCUCUCUUGUAUGCGUUUCCCCCGCUCCAGCUGAUCCUUCCUCUUCUGGAACGGGUCAGACAGGAGAGACUGUCCCUGAUAUUAGUGGCCCCGGAGAACCGUUCAGCUCUGUGGUUUCCAGAGCUUGCCGCGCUCUCGCGGUCGGCGCCUUGGCCAAUACCAUUCAGGCCGGAUGCGCUUUCACAGGCCCACGGGACGGUGCACCACCCGCCCGAUGUCUCGGGACGGCUGUUGGUUUGGCUCCUGAGAGGUUGAUCCUGCAGGGCAAAGGUUUGCCUGAGACGGUUAUCAACACUAUUCAGAGUGCUCGUGCGCCGUCUACUUCUUCCCUCUAUGCGGCGAAGUGGUGCGCCUUCUCUAAUUGGUGUGAGACGAACCACGCUGUCCCAUCUCAAUGCGAGGUGGGAAGCGUGCUUUCGUUUCUGCAAAACUUAUUGGAAAAAGGUUUGGCCUUCUCCACUAUCAAGGUCUAUGCGGCAGCCGUUUCGGCUGGCCAUGCAGGCUGUGAUGGGGGACCGAUCUUCAGCCAUCCACUGGUCAAGAGAUUCUUGCGUGGGGCUAGACGGGUUAGGCCUGUUUCACGCGUGCUUACACCACGCUGGGAUCUCCCCACCGUGUUGCGCGGAUUGUCCAGGGAUCCUUUCGAGCCUCUCUCCCAGGCCCCUUUGGAUGCCCUGUCAUUUAAGACGGCGCUCUUGUUGGCCUUGGUUUCUGCCAAGCGGGCCGGUGAGCUAACCGCUCUGUCUGUCAGCCCGAGUUGCUUGUUGCUAAACGAGGACAGCUCCUUCGCGUUGCUCAGACCUAAUCCUGCGUUCCUCCCGAAGAACAUUAAUAGUUAUUUUCGGUCGAGGGAUAUUGUGCUUAAGGCUUUUCACCCCCCGCCUCAUUCUAGUGAGGCGGAGGCGGAGUUGCAUCUCCUGUGCCCGGUUCGGGCGUUGGCUAUGUACGUGAAUCGCUCGGCAGCGUUCCGCUCCACACAACAGUUGUUUGUGUGUUAUAGCGACGCUAGCAGGGGCCGCGCUCUCUCUAAGCAGCGGUUUUCUCGCUGGGUAUGUGAGGGUGUUUGCCUAGCCUACUCUCGGCAGGGCUUGGCGCCACCGUUGGGCGUUAAAGCUCACUCCACACGGAGCGUGGCCGCUUCAACGGCUCUACUCAAGGGCGUUUCGGCGGAAGACAUCUGCGCGGCUGCGUCUUGGUCUUCCCCCGGCCCCUUUGUCCGUUUUUACAUGUUAGACAUGUCCAGGGGCUCACUCGAAAACUCUGUGCUAGAGUCCGGGACCCCUUUUACGGCUUAA